GACGAACGCUGGCGGCGUGCUUAACACAUGCAAGUGGAGCGACGAACCAGGGCUUGCCCUGGGGCAGAGCCGCGAACGGGUGAGUAACACGUGGGUAACCUGCCCCGAUGACCGGGACAACCCGAGGAAACUCGGGCUAAUACCGGAUGUGCUCGCGUCACACAAGUGACGUGAGGAAAGGUAGCUUCGGCUUCCGCGUCGGGAUGGGCCCGCGGCCCAUUAGCUUGUUGGUGGGGUAAUGGCCCACCAAGGCUGCGAUGGGUAGCUGGUCUGAGAG
This 277-nucleotide ribosomal RNA is filed under the name uncultured bacterium. RNAcentral describes it as "partial 16S ribosomal RNA". It matches the Rfam family "Bacterial small subunit ribosomal RNA", at positions 28 to 298 of the family's 1533-position model. The record is from RNAcentral.